ACUUCAUCACGUUGCAUAGUUCGAUAGCGCUCUUCAAGCACCUGGAUUGCAGAGUCCAGUUCCUCAGCAGAUUUUAUUUGAUUAAUCAAUUCUUCAUUCGUACUUUUUAAAGCUUCUGUCUGAUUGUACAAAUCCUGGUUCUGUUGAUUAAAAGUAGCCUUUAAUUCUUUCUCUGGUUCACUUUCUUCGGGUGAUUCAUCAAGGUACAAAUGAUAUGUGCGAACAAGGUAGUCAAACAAAACUUUGUCCACGAGAUGAUCGUCAAGGCUAUUUUGUUCUACGGUAUAAACCAUAGCAACUGCCUUUUCAGUGCAUUGAAUUAGUGAAACAACCCAGUGAAGCAUACCCAAUAUAGCAGGCCAUACAUGAGGAGAGCCUAUAGCGACAAGCCUAGAGCGUGAGAUGGAAUCAAGGAACGGAUAAUUGAGUGCUUUUAAACAAGUAGUAACGUCUUCUUCAUAGCGUGCGCCAAAUCUAAAAUUUGGGUCCAACUUAUUAUACAAAUGUUUGAAGAUGGCAGCAAACUCUCUCGUUGAUGGCAUGAAACGAUUAUUUAAACCCAAUGGCUGUGAAAAUCCAGAUUCUAAUAAAUAGUUGACGACUUGCGUAGCGCAUUCUUGUUGGUAUCUUCUGUCUGACAAUGGUCUUGGAUCUUUUAUAGAAGUAAUAUUAGGUGUUUGGGAAAUAAAAGAUGCAUUGGAAACGCGCACGCUGGAGCGACGGGUACUAUGCAACAAGAUUAGAACAAAUUCAGUAAAUAUUAUCAUACUUAGGAGCCAAACUUGGGCGCAUUGUAGGGGUUAACACACGAGAAGACAAACCGUCAGGAUC
Molecule: non-coding RNA, 831 nt
Organism: Schizosaccharomyces pombe (fission yeast)
Lineage: Eukaryota; Fungi; Ascomycota; Schizosaccharomycetes; Schizosaccharomycetales; Schizosaccharomycetaceae
Source: the annotation of a GenBank genome assembly